GGUGAGGUGGCCGAGUGGCUGAAGGCGCCGGUUUGCUAAACCGGUGAGGGGGGAACUCCUCCCAGGGUUCGAAUCCCUGCCUCACCGCCA
RNAcentral lists this transfer RNA (90 nucleotides) under bacterium. Its description in RNAcentral is "tRNA-Ser". It matches the Rfam family "tRNA". From Rfam's summary of the family: Transfer RNA (tRNA) molecules are approximately 80 nucleotides in length. Their secondary structure includes four short double-helical elements and three loops (D, anti-codon, and T loops). RNAcentral also lists the same sequence under 1 other name. The record is from RNAcentral.